AGGUCUUAAUUUCAGCAGAUUCUUUGAAUUGCUAAAUGGCACUAUCACAGAUUCAUCAGUAGGUGGGGUAACGGUGGCAAGACACAUUUUUAGAGGUAGUUUGAAGCUGAUGAAGGAAAAUAUUUAACGCAUAAAAAAAAAAAAAAAAAAAAAAAAAAACAUGCAUCUGGGAAUUGGCACAUUGGUCUGCAAGUAUUUGAAAUAUGAUGAAUUCGUUGCUCCAGGCUGAUGGAUCUAGAAUUUUUAAAGGUUAUGCAACGACGCAAAAUAUCACAUACAUAAAAAAAUAAAUACAAGAAAAUCAAUAUAUUAUAAGAAAAUAUGCAAACAAAAAUCCAAUAAAAUUUUGACGAAUUAACAAAACAAAUGUGAAACAGAGAAAAUAAUAAAAGCUGAGAGCUGUAAAAUCAGCUGCUUUGGUGGAGGCACGCGUGGCGUUAAUGGACGCGGCUUUUCCCCUCCUACUGCUCCUCAGUCUGCCUUUAGUUGCAGACUGACAGGCUUCUUCCAGCGUGUUAGCAUCAUUCCAUGGCUGAGUGUCUGCAGACAUAAAGAUGAGGUAGAUGGUUCCUCCAAAAAUGUAGAUGAGUGACACCACAUGGAACACUUCUCUCCAACUGCUCAGCGUUUGCUGUGAAAGAAAGGCAGUCAUGGCCUUGCCUGCAUGCUGAAAAUAGAACUAGAACGGGUGGAAUGUUUUGAACAAGAAGCAAGGAUUUGGAUAGGGAGAGGUGAAGCUCAUCUGCUAUGACCACCCUCUUGGGGUGAUGCUCCCAGGGGGAGCAAGCUGUUGUAGAGAGAUAGAUUGGUGUAUCAGGUUAAGCGUACACUUUACAUUUUUAAAUGUUUAAGUAUGAAUAUAGCUAAACAAGUGCAUGAAACGUACAAAAAAAAAUGAAAUGAUUACAUAUGAAAGAAGAUAAGCGUUACAUAAGAUAUGCAGAUAAAGGUGGAUCAUACAUAAAAACUAAACAUAUCACAAAACCUAUUUGUAUAUUUAGAAAUGAAUAAGAAACAAUCAAAUUGAAAAUAACAGACUUGGUGUGCCCAAUAAAGGUGAAAAGAUUAAAUAAGGGAAUCAAAUACACCACUGUAAGGUGGUUUGGCCAUGUGGAAAUGACAAAGAUAUAUUUAAAGGAGUAUUAUGAGUAUAAUAGAUCCAGUGAAUGUAAGAGGACAACUUUCUGUGAAAUCAAAUAAGACAGCAUGCUGCAGUACAACAGAAAAAGUCGAGGGAAAAAAUAAAAGGAUUAAAGCAUGCUUGGAGGGAAUGCAAAGACAAAUAAAUUGAGAUGAUUUUGAUGUGGGUAUUGCUUAGGGAGAGUUCUUAAAAACAAAUAUUAUAUGUAUAUAAUCAGACAGAUUUUUUAAUAAAAAGCAACUUACUUGGUUAUUUAUGAUCAUCCCAGUUACAGCUGGAGCAAGAAAUCCUGGUAUUGUUGCCACUGUGUUUGAUAUGCCUGUCAAGGUCCCUGCAAAGUUUGGAGCCAACUCCUUGGAGAAAAAUUGUGGAUAAUUUCUGAUACUUGUCCAUUACCACAGAUAUAUUUUACCUUGUAUUUUUUGCUUAUUCAUUUAUUUAUUUUGUUUAUUUAUUUAUUUUUUUUUUUGCACCAUAUGACUGUGAUGUGGCACUUUCUCUUAAGAAAAAAAAAAAAAAGUAUUCUUCUGUGUUGAAUCCCAAUCAGUAAUGAGUUAUAAUCAGCUACAUUACUUGCCUGAAAGCCACAGUGCAGUCCGCACGUUGAGGCUCCACCUGAACCCAAAGCAAUACAGAUAAGAAUCACAGCUCGCUGCCUAUCACACCCCACCCACGGAACAAGGAGCAGCACUGCCGCUGGAAUGUGGUUUGCUGGGAAUGGUUAGGUCACAAAAUUAGCAACAAUGAAGAGAACUGGAGUACAUACAAAGAGAAAUCUGUGUCAGAAUGUAAGAAAGUACCUGUAUUUGUGUUUAUAAACUAGAACAGAACACAGACAGUGACACAGGAAUGCUUAUAGUGCACAACAUUUUCUUACCUAUGAUCAUAGAGAUUUUCCGGAUGUUCUUGGUGGAGAGCUUUCCUGUUUCUAAAAGAUGAUCCAUAUAUGACGAAUAUGUCAAAUUAAACACCCACAUCACCAUGUAAGGAAGUGCUGAGAUUAAACCAUUCUGACAAAGAAA
Scylla paramamosain (green mud crab) is the source of this 2163-nucleotide long non-coding RNA. RefSeq lists it as uncharacterized. NCBI's taxonomy places the organism in Eukaryota, Metazoa, Arthropoda, Malacostraca, Decapoda, Portunidae. The transcript has 2 exons. The record is from RefSeq and is a predicted model, not a curated record.